Molecule: long non-coding RNA, 209 nt
Filed under: Elaeis guineensis (African oil palm)
Lineage: Eukaryota; Viridiplantae; Streptophyta; Magnoliopsida; Arecales; Arecaceae
Description: long non-coding RNA (EGUI_LNC046853)
Source: RNAcentral
GAGCUUAGAGAAUAACGUAUCUGGGCCCCCUUUUUAUAGGUGGAGGGAGCAACGGAUUGAUAGCGAUGUUUGUAACCGCCUAGUAAUGGGCCGCUCGGGGCCAAGAGGAGCUUAUUAUGAAGAGUAAUGGGGUGGAGUCAUGGCUAUCACCAUGGCUCGCCACGUGGAGCCUGUUGUGGAGAGUGGAGCAGUGUCCAUUGUCGUGACUC